This 1382-nucleotide long non-coding RNA is filed under the name Equus asinus (donkey). RNAcentral describes it as "lncRNA (ENSEASG00005034377.1)". Lineage: Eukaryota; Metazoa; Chordata; Mammalia; Perissodactyla; Equidae. The record is from RNAcentral.
GGGAGUCAGACAGCAUAUUACCUAAACAGCACAGUUAACAAUGGGCGAGGGCGAUGCUCCCCUGACGUCUGCCUUCCCCAGACACCUCUCAGCAGCUCCUCGGAGCUGCCCAGCAGCCACAGCUCCGGGUUUGCAAGGCUUAGCUGAAGAGAUGAGCCAAGUACAUCAAAGAUGUGGAUCAAAGCCCCAGAGUCACUUUCUCCCGAGUUCAAGAGGACAGACUCCCAGAUUUUGUUUUUGACAUGCUGGUCAACUCAACGUUUGACUGUCUGCUGACAGUAAGAAAGCUUUCUCUGAUUUCUAUGUCUAUCCUUGGUUCGAAUAUCCAGAAGUAUCUGACAAAGCCACCACUGCCAUUCCCACUUGACCUGUAACUAUGUGGCAUUGGCCAAAAUAAAAAGAACACCAUUUCUGCUCUACACUGUCCUUCUUGAAUACCUGACAGACGACUCACCAUCCAGGACGGACCGAGCGCACUGUGAGACCCUCCGCAGCCUCCCUGAAGUGCUGCCAGACAGCAGAGUGCUCCGCGCCCCGCCUGUGCCUCACCUGGACCACUUGCUGCUCCAGAUCUUAACCAUCUUUGUUUCCUCAGUGCUUAAUACUGUACUUCCUAUCAUAGGAGUUCAUUCUGUUGUUUGGCAAAGGACAAAUCCUCUACAAGGGUUGUUAAGUACACUAGUUCCAAAAGUGACAGGAACUCUGUUUAAGUGGCCACCUAUGUUACAUCAGACACCUUCUCCACUCAGUGGGACACCUGUACUGUCAGAGGGCCACUUAGCUAAAUGUGAAAGCAGUUUAGAGUUUAUCCAUUUACGCAUAAUUCCUCUGUUUCUUUCAUUUUCUAUUGUGAAUCUAUGAUUUUAUUAAAUUUAAUAUAUACUUAUAACCUGAUAGAUUUUCUACUCCAUAGUAACUAUGUUAAAUAAUUUUCUCUUCUUUACCAUUUUUCUUUUUUUGUUUCCAAAGAGGAACUGGUGGCUGGACCCUACUUGUGUCAAAUAAAUACCACAGGGUGCAGAUUGACCUUGAAGAGAGAAUGGCAGUCACUGCUGUGGCCCCCAGGGAGCACACGGGAACUCUGACUGGGCACCAGCUGCAUCCUGGUGUUCAGUGACAGUGGGAGGAGCUGGAAGCAGUAGCAAGGAGAAGAAAGUAUCUGGGUACAUUUUCUAAUAUAAUAAUUGUACAUGUUGAUUCCAACCUAUUAGAGAAACAGAAUCUGAAGAAUUACUUAGGAAAAGUUUUCUAAGUGAAAGUAAGGUACAUUCUUCAUUGAAAAUAUUGAAAAGGAUUUCUCUGCUUUUAAAUACUGUGAAAGUCUAAGAAUAACACAAGUCAUGUACCAUUUUUCUCUUGUUUUGUUCAAUAAAUGAUUUGGC